UUAAGUUCAGCGGGUAGUCCUACCUGAUUUGAGGCCAGAGUUAUGAAUUAGUGGGUUGAGUGUUGCCACUCGCGCCGGGUUAAGAAGCAGACUUCCUCUAGGUACCAAGUCGAGCUUCCACCAAUGCAAUUUUAUUACAUCAAAUGGAAGUACUCUGCUUAGAGAUUAGAGAGGUCCAGCUAAUAUCUUUAAGGCCAGCA
This 200-nucleotide unclassified non-coding RNA is filed under the name Microstroma sp. RNAcentral describes it as "partial internal transcribed spacer 2". The record is from RNAcentral. Lineage: Eukaryota; Fungi; Basidiomycota; Exobasidiomycetes; Microstromatales; Microstromataceae.